CAGCAGCCGCGGUAAUACGGAGGGUCCGAGCGUUAUCCGGAAUUAUUGGGUUUAAAGGGUCCGUAGGCGGGCCAUUAAGUCAGGGGUGAAAGUCUGCGGCUCAACCGUAGAAUUGCCUUUGAUACUGGUGGUCUUGAGUUAUGGUGAAGUGGCUGGAAUAUGUAGUGUAGCGGUGAAAUGCAUAGAUAUUACAUAGAACACCGAUUGCGAAGGCAGGUCACUAACCAUAUACUGACGCUGAUGGACGACAGCGUGGGGAGCGAACAGGAUUAGAUACCCUGGUAGUCCACGCCGUAAACGAUGGAUACUAGCUGUCCGGGUCCUUGAGACCUGGGCGGCCAAGCGAAAGUGAUAAGUAUCCCACCUGGGGAGUACGUUCGCAAGAAUGAAACUCAAAGGAAUUGACGGGGGCCCGCACAAGCGGUGGAGCAUGUGGUUUAAUUCGAUGAUACGCGAGGAACCUUACCAGGGCUUAAAUGCAUAUUGACAGGGGUAGAGAUACCUUUUUCUUCGGGCAAUUUGCAAGGUGCUGCAUGGUUGUCGUCAGCUCGUGCCGUGAGGUGUCAGGUUAAGUCCUAUAACGAGCGCAACCCCUACCGUUAGUUGCCAGCGAGUCAUGUCGGGGACUCUAACGGGACUGCCGGUGCAAACCGUGAGGAAGGUGGGGAUGACGUCAAAUCAUCACGGCCCUUACGUCCUGGGCCACACACGUGCUACAAUGGCCGGUACAGAGAGCAGCCAUCUGGCAACAGAGAGCGAAUCUACAAAACCGGUCACAGUUCGGAUCGGGGUCUGCAACUCGACCCCGUGAAGCUGGAAUCGCUAGUAAUCGGAUAUCAGCCAUGAUCCGGUGAAUACGUUCCCGGGCCUUGUACACACCGCCCGUCAAGCCAUGGAAGCCGGGAGUGCCUGAAGUCCGUCACCGUAAGGAGCGGCCUAGGGCAAGAUCGGUAACUAGGGCUAAGUCGUAACAAGGUAACCGUA
This 984-nucleotide ribosomal RNA is filed under the name uncultured bacterium. Its description in RNAcentral is "bacterial SSU rRNA". It matches the Rfam family "Bacterial small subunit ribosomal RNA", at positions 509 to 1504 of the family's 1533-position model. The record is from RNAcentral.